GAUGAACGCUAGCUACAGGCUUAACACAUGCAAGUCGAGGGGAAACGAUAGAGAAAGCUUGCUUUUUCUAGGCGUCGACCGGCGCACGGGUGAGUAACGCGUAUCCAACCUGCCCACCACUUGGGGAUAACCUUGCGAAAGUAAGACUAAUACCCAAUGACGUCUCUAGAAGACAUCUGAAAGGGAUUAAAGAUUUAUCGGUGAUGGAUGGGGAUGCGUCUGAUUAGCUUGUUGGCGGGGUAACGGCCCACCAAGGCAACGAUCAGUAGGGGUUCUGAGAGGAAGGUCCCCCACAUUGGAACUGAGACACGGUCCAAACUCCUACGGGAGGCAGCAGUGAGGAAUAUUGGUCAAUGGGCGAGAGCCUGAACCNGCCAAGUAGCGUGCAGGAUGACGGCCCUAC
Molecule: ribosomal RNA, 403 nt
Filed under: uncultured bacterium
Lineage: Bacteria
Description: bacterial SSU rRNA
Rfam family: Bacterial small subunit ribosomal RNA
Source: RNAcentral